RNAcentral lists this ribosomal RNA (960 nucleotides) under Neomicrosphaeropsis tamaricicola. RNAcentral's name for it is "SSU rRNA". It matches the Rfam family "Eukaryotic small subunit ribosomal RNA", at positions 54 to 1026 of the family's 1831-position model. Lineage: Eukaryota; Fungi; Ascomycota; Dothideomycetes; Pleosporales; Didymellaceae. The record is from RNAcentral.
CAUGUCUAGUAUAGCAUUAUACCGUGAAACUGCGAAUGGCUCAUUAAAUCAGUUAUCGUUUAUUUGAUAGUACCUUACUACUUGGAUAACCGUGGUAAUUCUAGAGCUAAUACAUGCUGAAAACCCCAACUUCGGGAGGGGUGUAUUUAUUAGAUAAAAAACCAACGCCCUUCGGGGCUUCUUGGUGAUUCAUGAUAACUUCACGGAUCGCAUGGCCUUGCGCCGGCGACGGUUCAUUCAAAUUUCUGCCCUAUCAACUUUCGAUGGUAAGGUAUUGGCUUACCAUGGUUUCAACGGGUAACGGGGAAUUAGGGUUCGAUUCCGGAGAGGGAGCCUGAGAAACGGCUACCACAUCCAAGGAAGGCAGCAGGCGCGCAAAUUACCCAAUCCCGACACGGGGAGGUAGUGACAAUAAAUACUGAUACAGGGCUCUUUUGGGUCUUGUAAUUGGAAUGAGUACAAUUUAAACCUCUUAACGAGGAACAAUUGGAGGGCAAGUCUGGUGCCAGCAGCCGCGGUAAUUCCAGCUCCAAUAGCGUAUAUUAAAGUUGUUGCAGUUAAAAAGCUCGUAGUUGAAACUUGGGCCUGGCUGGCAGGUCCGCCUCACCGCGUGUACUUGUCCGGCCGGGCCUUUCCUUCUGGAGAACCUCAUGCCCUUCACUGGGUGUGUUGGGGAACCAGGACUUUUACUUUGAAAAAAUUAGAGUGUUCAAAGCAGGCCUUUGCUCGAAUACGUUAGCAUGGAAUAAUAGAAUAGGACGUGCGGUCCUAUUUUGUUGGUUUCUAGGACCGCCGUAAUGAUUAAUAGGGACAGUCGGGGGCAUCAGUAUUCAAUUGUCAGAGGUGAAAUUCUUGGAUUUAUUGAAGACUAACUACUGCGAAAGCAUUUGCCAAGGAUGUUUUCAUUAAUCAGUGAACGAAAGUUAGGGGAUCGAAGACGAUCAGAUACCGUCGUAGUCU